UACGAGGGGAGCAAGCGUUGUUCGGAUUUACUGGGCGUAAAGGGCGCGUAGGCGGCGUGACAAGUCACUUGUGAAAUCUCCGGGCUUAACUCGGAACGGUCAAGUGAUACUGUCGUGCUAGAGUACAGAAGGGGCAACUGGAAUUCUCGGUGUAGCGGUGAAAUGCGCAGAUAUCAGGAAGAACACCCGUGGCGAAGGCGGCUCUCUGGGACGGUACUGACGCUGAGACGCGAAAGCGUGGGGAGCGAACAGG
RNAcentral lists this ribosomal RNA (253 nucleotides) under uncultured bacterium. RNAcentral describes it as "partial 16S ribosomal RNA". It matches the Rfam family "Bacterial small subunit ribosomal RNA", at positions 524 to 776 of the family's 1533-position model. The record is from RNAcentral.